This 494-nucleotide ribosomal RNA is filed under the name uncultured Planctomyces sp. RNAcentral describes it as "bacterial SSU rRNA". It matches the Rfam family "Bacterial small subunit ribosomal RNA", at positions 1 to 523 of the family's 1533-position model. The record is from RNAcentral. Lineage: Bacteria; Pseudomonadati; Planctomycetota; Planctomycetia; Planctomycetales; Planctomycetaceae.
UCGCCCUUGAGUUUGAUCAUGGCUCAGAAUGAACGUUGGUAGCGUGGAUUAGGCAUGCAAGUCGAGCGACAAGGUCUCUUCGGAGACUGGAGGAGCCGCAAACGGGGUAGUAAGGCAUCGGAACGUACCCUCUUGUCCAGGAUAGCCGUGGGAAACUGCGGUUAAUACUGGAUAAUCCCGAAAGGGCAAAGGUCCGCCGCGGGAGGAGCGGCCGAUGUGAUACCAGCUAGUUGGUGUGGUAAUGGCGCACCAAGGCAUAGACGUCUAGGGGGUGUGAGAGCAUGGCCCCCACCACUGGGACUGAGAUACUGCCCAGACACUUACGGGUGGCUGCAGUCGAGAAUCUUCGGCAAUGGGCGCAAGCCUGACCGAGCGACGCUACGUGCGGGAUGAAGGUUUUUUUUUUGUAAACCGCUGUCAGAGGGGAUGAAAGCGCAAGCUUGACAGAGCCUCAGAGGAAGCGCGGGCUAAGUUCGUGCCAGCAGCCGCGGUAC